RNAcentral lists this ribosomal RNA (858 nucleotides) under uncultured archaeon. RNAcentral's name for it is "bacterial SSU rRNA". It matches the Rfam family "Archaeal small subunit ribosomal RNA", at positions 4 to 828 of the family's 1478-position model. The record is from RNAcentral.
UUCCGGUUGAUCCUGCCGGACCCCACUGCUAUCGGGAUGGGACUAAGACAUGCUAGUCGAGCGUCUCUAAGCUAUGGAAGAGACGCGGCACACAGCUCAGUAACACGUGGCUAACCUGCCCUUGGGACAAGGACAACUCCGGGAAACUGGGGCUAAUCCCUGAUAGGUGAGAACUCCUGGAAUGGAUUCUCGCUGAAAGGACGUUUAGACCAUGCUUCUAGGCGUCGCCCAAGGAUGGAGCCGCGACCGAUCAGGUUGUUGGUGAGGUAACGGCUCACCAAGCCUUUAACCGGUACGGGCCGUGAGAGCGGAAGCCCGGAGAUGGGCACUGAGACAAGGGCCCAGGCCCUACGGGGCGCAGCAGUCGCGAAAACUCCGCAAUACACGAAAGUGUGACGGGGCCAUCCCGAGUGCCAUCCGCUGAGGAUGGCUUUUCCCCAGUGUAUAAAGCUGGGGGAAUAAGGAGAGGGCAAGCCUGGUGUCAGCCGCCGCGGUAAUACCAGCUCUCCGAGUGUGGGGAUGUUUAUUGGGCCUAAAGCGUUCGUAGCCGGCUUAACAAGUCUUCCGUUAAAUCCAACGAUCUAAUCGUUGGGCUGCGGGAGAUACUGUUGGGCUGGGAGGCGGGAGAAGCCGACGGUAUUCUCGGGGUAGGGUGAAAUCCUGUAAUCCCGGGAGGACCACCAGUGGCGAAGCGGUCGCUAGACGCGCUCGACGGUGAGGACGAAAGCUGGGGGAGCGAUCGAUUAGAAACCCGAGUGGUUCCAGCUGUAACGAUGCGGCUAGGUGUUGGGGGUGGCCACGAGCCCCUCCAUGCCGCAUGAAGCAAUAAGCCGCGCCUGGGGGUACGCCGCAGCUGAA